AUACGGAGGGUGCAAGCGUUACUCGGAAUCACUGGGCGUAAAGCGCGCGCAGGCGGCUAUUUAAGUUGGAUGUGAAAGCCUACGGCUCAACCGUAGAACUGCAUCCAAAACUAUUUAGCUAGAGUGUGUGAGAGGAAGAUGGAAUUAGUUGUGUAGGGGUAAAAUCCGUAGAGAUAACUAGGAAUACCAAAAGCGAAGGCAAUCUUCUGGAACACUACUGACGCUGAGGCGCGAAAGCGUGGGGAGCAAACAGAAGUAGAAACCCUAGUAGUCC
This 274-nucleotide ribosomal RNA is filed under the name uncultured bacterium. RNAcentral describes it as "partial 16S ribosomal RNA". It matches the Rfam family "Bacterial small subunit ribosomal RNA", at positions 523 to 796 of the family's 1533-position model. The record is from RNAcentral.